CCUANGGGGGGCAGCAGUAAGGAAUAUUGGUCAAUGGGCGCAAGCCUGAACCAGCCAUGCCGCGUGCAGGAAGACGGCCCUAUGGGUUGUAAACUGCUUUUGUACGGGAAAAAACUCCCGGUCGUGAACCGGGACUGAUGGUACCGUAAGAAUAAGCAUCGGCUAACUCCGUGCCAGCAGCCGCGGUAAUACGGAGGAUGCAAGCGUUAUCCGGAUUCAUUGGGUUUAAAGGGUGCGCAGGCGGAAUGAUAAGUCAGUGGUGAAAUCCUGCAGCUUAACUGCAGAACUGCCAUUGAUACUGUCAUUCUUGAGUAUAGUUGAAGUGGGCGGAAUGUGUCAUGUAGCGGUGAAAUGCUUAGAUAUGACACAGAACACCGAUCGCGAAGGCAGCUCGCUAAGCUAUAACUGACGCUCAUGCACGAAAGCGUGGGGAUCAAACAGGAUUAGAUACCCUANUANUC
Molecule: ribosomal RNA, 461 nt
Filed under: uncultured bacterium
Lineage: Bacteria
Description: bacterial SSU rRNA
Rfam family: Bacterial small subunit ribosomal RNA
Source: RNAcentral